CCUACGGGAGGCUGCAGUGGGGAAUAUUGCACAAUGGGGGAAACCCUGAUGCAGCAACGCCGCGUGAAGGAAGACGGUUUUCGGAUUGUAAACUUCUGUUCUUAGUGAAGAAUAAUGACGGUAGCUAAGGAGCAAGCCACGGCUAACUACGUGCCAGCAGCCGCGGUAAUACGGAGGGUGCAAGCGUUACUCGGAAUCACUGGGCGUAAAGAGCGCGUAGGCGGGAUAGCAAGUCAGAUGUGAAAUCCUAGGGCUUAACCAUAGAACUGCAUUUGAAACUGUUAUUCUAGAGUAUGGGAGAGGUAGGUGGAAUUCUUGGUGUAGGGGUAAAAUGCGUAGAGAUCAAGAGGAAUACUCAUUGCGAAGGCGACCUGCUAGAACAUAACUGACGCUGAGGCGCGAAAGCGUGGGGAGCAAACAGGAUUAGAUACCCGUGUAGUC
RNAcentral lists this ribosomal RNA (441 nucleotides) under uncultured bacterium. RNAcentral's name for it is "partial 16S ribosomal RNA". It matches the Rfam family "Bacterial small subunit ribosomal RNA", at positions 338 to 795 of the family's 1533-position model. The record is from RNAcentral.